CCCUAUUAUUUUGGAAUGUUAAUUUUUGUGUACCUGAGUAGUAUUAGUUAUGUUCUUGAAACUUAAAGAAUUUGGCGGUAUCUCAUUCCUUCCAGAGGAAUCUGUCUCGUUAUCGAUAGUCCACGUUGGACCUUACUUAGUUGCGUUGGUUUGUAUACCGCCGUUUAUUGAUUAUCUUUUUAGGGUUUAUUAAAAUUUUCUGGUAUCUUUAUUUUGAUUUAUUUCAGGUCAAGGUGCAGCUUGUUUCUAAGUGGAAUGAUGGAUUACAUUAUAAUUUGUAUUUAUGGAUUGUUGAUUUUAAUAUUGGCAUGAAAUUGGAUUUGGUUGUAAUUAUUUUUAGAUUGUUAUUAUGAUAUUUGGUUCUGGGAUAUGCACACAUCGCCCGUCGUUCUCGUUUAUAGUUUGAUGAGAUAAGUC
RNAcentral lists this ribosomal RNA (417 nucleotides) under Fulleritermes coatoni. Its description in RNAcentral is "partial 12S ribosomal RNA". The record is from RNAcentral. Lineage: Eukaryota; Metazoa; Arthropoda; Insecta; Blattodea; Termitidae.